GAUGAACGCUGGCGGCGUGCCUAAUACAUGCAAGUCGAGCGAACGGACGAGAAGCUUGCUUCUCUGAUGUUAGCGGCGGACGGGUGAGUAACACGUGGAUAACCUACCUAUAAGACUGGGAUAACUUCGGGAAACCGUAGCUAAUACCGGAUAAUAUUUUGAACCGCAUGGUUCAAAAGUGAAAGACGGUCUUGCUGUCACUUAUAGAUGGAUCCGCGCUGCAUUAGCUAGUUGGUAAGGUAACGGCUUACCAAGGCAACGAUGCAUAGCCGACCUGAGAGGGUGAUCGGCCACCCUGGAACUGAGACACGGUCCAGACUCCUACGGGAGGAAGCAGUAGGGAAUCUUCCGCAAUGGGCGAGAGCCUGACGGAGCAACGCCGCGUGAGUGAUGAAGGUCUUCGGAUCGUAAAACUCUGUUAUUAGGGAAGAACAUAUGUGUAAGUAACUGUGUACAUCUUGACGGUACCUAAUCAGAAAGCCACGGCUAACUACGUG
Molecule: ribosomal RNA, 497 nt
Filed under: uncultured bacterium
Lineage: Bacteria
Description: partial 16S ribosomal RNA
Rfam family: Bacterial small subunit ribosomal RNA
Source: RNAcentral